GUAUUCACCUGGCAAAGGAGACACCAUGUUCAAGGCAGGUGGUUUUCCCAGAAAGAGGCUCACACAUUGCACUCGGGAUGUGCUGGCCCCUGAGAUUCCCACGUACAUAGGAAACUUCCAUGAUUUGUGGUAGUGAGGGACUGUAUUAGCUCUCUCUCC
Cricetulus griseus (Chinese hamster) is the source of this 159-nucleotide small nuclear RNA. Its record names the gene U1. It matches the Rfam family "U1 spliceosomal RNA". Rfam says of the family: U1 is a small nuclear RNA (snRNA) component of the spliceosome (involved in pre-mRNA splicing). Lineage: Eukaryota; Metazoa; Chordata; Mammalia; Rodentia; Cricetidae. The record is from Ensembl.